AAUCAAAAAAAUACUUCAAAAAUUAUUUUAAUCCGUUUUGGCCCAGAACAACUAAAAAUUUGUUUUCUUUUCAUCUCAAAAGUUCUUCAAAAAAAUGAAUCUUAGUGAAACUUUAUACCCUAUAGUUUUUAAGUAUGCUUUUUUCGAAUCCAGCUUUAGUUUAUCUCUCACUAUUUUUCCAAUGAUGGAAAAAAUUUUCAAAAAUUGAGAAACAAUCAAAGAACAAUUGCAAAAACAGUCCAUUUUUUCACCCUUGAAUUUAGACUUCUACUUGGUUCUAAAUGAUUGUUUAUGAUGAUGCAUCUAUCCUCAGAAAGUUUCAAAUAGACCCAGCUUUUUAUCUUUGAGAUAUGGAGGAUCAAAGUUGCUAAUUUUUAGUGAUGGGCAGUAUUUUCGUACCUAGUAUUUUGUAACUGUUAUUGAAAGAGAACCAUUAUAACAUAAUUAUUAAUUUAUCCAAUAGGAGUUAUCUUAUAACUGUUUAUGGCUACGGCCGGAAUCAGAGCGACAUGUCGACCGCAACCCAUUUAUUUCGCCAUUUGCCACUAGACUAUAGCCAAUCACAGCUAUUUCUUAGAAGAAUGAAAUGACUGUAAUUGGCUAUAAUCGAGUCGAUUAUAACCCAAUCGUGUUAAUCCGUGUGGCUCAAAAAUCUACAAGUCAUUUCAAGUCUAUGGUUUGGGAUCAGGCGCUCUACUCUGUCUUUUAAAAUUUUUUUAAUAUCAAAUUUUAAUUUAAAAUUUAUAGUAGUUGUACAUGUUGAAAUUUUAUUUGUUUUUUAUUUCUUUUAUUAAUCUUAUAAAUUUUAUAAACUGUUAUCAAAUAACUGUUUAAAUUAACUUAUUUGUGAGUAACGAUAACUGUAGAAACCUCGCGUUACGAAAAAAUAACUAUUUAGCUCAACACUACUGAUUUUACCAACUCGCAUAUUACACAUUUUAAGACAUUGGAAUAAAAAAUGACAUAAUAAUAGAUUUAAUAAACGUAUUCAUUUGUUGAUAUAUAUUUCUAUACACGAUUAUAUGUACACAUAAAUAUAAAAAAGAUAUAUGGUAUGUAGUAUAUAUAUAUACAAUUGUAUAUAUUAGGUCAUUCAAAUAAAACCAAGACUUUUGAGUUUACAAAAUAAAAGAACAAAUAUCAAGGAGCGGAAACUGCGUUUAUCUUUCGACACACUCCCCUGUUAUACCCACACAUCCAUCCCAGCACCCAACCAAUGUCUGGAAAGCCCCGGCAUAGAAAGAUUUGCCAUCACGUCUAAACCAUUUUAGGAGAACUCGCUUUACUUCGUCAUCAGGAAUUCGUUUAGGAAUCCAAACAGAUAGAAACAAAGUGGAAGCUGCAUUUGUUUUUUGAAAUACUCCUAUGCUGCAUUUGUACAUGUAUCCCAGCGUUUAGCUGAUACCUGGAAAGCCUUCCAGGCAUGAAAGGGUUUGUUAUUGCUGAGCUGUUCUAAGACAGCCUGCUUCAUUUCGUCAUCGGUGCUAAAAUGGUAACCUCUGAGGGGCUCCUUUCCGAGUGAUUUCUACCAGUUUGGAUCCCUAAAGGAGUUCCUCAGAAGUCCCUAUUUGAGCACAAAAUGAAGCGGGCUGUCCUAAAAUGGUGCAGACGUGAUAACUGAUCUUUCUAUACCAGGCAUUGUUAGGCGCUGGGAUAGAUGUGUCAGUGUAGCAGGAGAGUAUGUCAAAGAGUAAAUGCAAGUUUUCUUAAUAUUGGUUUUUUUAUUUUAUAAACUCAAAAGUUCUGGUGUGACUUGAACAACCCAUGCAUGUACAUUUGUAAUAAAAUUGUCAGUUGGGUUGAAUCCGCCAAAUCGGAGUUAAUUUUUUUAUUAUUUAUCACUAGCGACGACAAGUUUUAACUCUAUUUUAUUAAAUAGUUAAUUCAAAAAUGAUCUGGAAAAAUUGCAAUAAGUUUUUCAAGAAAAUGCUUGCAAAGUUGACCUGAAUAAAAAAGAAAAUAACUUAUAUUGUAGCCCUAAGAAGGACUGCAUGGUUGAAAAAAUGUUCUGGAAAAGAUAAAAAAAAAAA
Long non-coding RNA from Monomorium pharaonis (pharaoh ant), 2030 nucleotides. RefSeq lists it as uncharacterized. NCBI's taxonomy places the organism in Eukaryota, Metazoa, Arthropoda, Insecta, Hymenoptera, Formicidae. The transcript has 2 exons. The record is from RefSeq and is a predicted model, not a curated record.